UCAUUUCUCUUGGUCGGCCAAAGGAAGAAAAGGGAAGAAAAGAAGAAGAACAAAACCCUAGCUAAGAAAUUCAAGAGAAAUUCACCAAAUUUCAAGGAAUCAAGCCAUCAAAGGUGAAAUUUCUUAAUUCUAGCUUGUGAUCUNGAUCUAUCUUUCCUAUGCAUUCUUUUGCAUUUUCCAUGGUUGAAUCACAAGAUAUCAUGAAGGAUUCAUGGCUGACCGAAUUUAGAGAGAGAAGAUUUGAUGAUUUAUUUGGUUAGAUUUUGAGAUAUUUUAGUGUUUUUAGUUGAUUUAUCAUGUUUGGAAGGAAAACAAGUAAGAAAAAUCACAUAUUCUUCAUGGAUUCCUCAUUGGUCGAAUUUCAUAAAGAAAAUAUUGAAGAUGAAUCUUGUGAUGUCUUAUGUUAUUUAGUUAGAAUUUAAUGAAUUGUGGUGGUGGAAAUCGAAAAUGGUAAUGUUUAGCAUGAAAAGUCAUAUACCCCUCAAGAACCUCCAUGGCCAAAUUUUUCCAAGAGAAAAUGUGAGGAAGAUUUUACCAAAUUUCAAGUUAUUUAAUUUGUGUUUGAUGGUUUGGAGUAUUGACAGAGAAAUGGAAUUAUUUGGAGUUGAAUUAGACGUAUUAGCCAAUUAAUCAGGUGAUAGAUCGAAUUAGGCCAAUACUGUUUUAUUUAGGUACACAAUUGAACUUAUAUUGAACGUCGUAUUUAGAUGGUUACUCGAGCAUUUCACAUCCCAUUUCAUGCAUUAGUAUAAAGCCUAAAUUAGUUUUAUAACAGUUUAGCACAAAUGUAGUAAAUGGCUUAUUGUGUAUUAUGUCUAGGUGGUGAACUUUCUGGCAAAAGUAAAGAGAUAGUACUCGAGGAUCAAGAAUCGGAGUACUUGGAACUCGAUUUUCAUUAUAGUGAGUAACCUUAUUAUCAUCUUAAUUAUCUAAAGUAUGUUUUUAUCCGAUUUUAUAAUUUUAUGGAAAAUAUGUUUAAAUGAAAUGAAAUUAUAAAUUGUUCUAAAAUUGAAUGAUGGUUUUGAAAAUGGAGUAAUUGGAGACUACUUGCUGUAUUGUAAAUUAUGUUUUGAAUUGAAUGGUUUAUGAUAAUGUGGGCAUGAAUGGCCGAAUGGGUAUUUGUGUUGAAAAUGUAUAAACUGUUAUUUGCCUUGAUAGGCUGGAUAAUGAUAAAAUUGCCAUGUCAUGCUGUUGAAUUUUAUUGAAUUGGUGGGUUAUAGAUUGGUCACUGCAGUGGCGGGUUCUGUGGACCAACCUUUUUGAGGGGCACGAAAUCCGGGUAUAUUCUUACCUCGGUUGAGGAGGCAUGUAGGGUAACUCCUGAGGUAAAACUUUAGAGUUCACUUCAUGCCAAACCACCACGUGAGGGUGAACUCAGCUAACGCCAACGGCUAUGUUUUCAAAAUAAAAACAUGAUUUAUGCGUACAUGACUUUUUAACAGCCUUGGCGGAUUCGGUUGGGAUAGCCCCAGGCCAAAGUAUCCCUGACAACCGAGUAUGAGAAUGAUUUUGGCACGAGCCAAGCUUUUCAGAAAAUCAUAAGCCUCGUUGUUUAUUUGGGUGAAAUGAAUCUAUUUGAUCUUAUUAAAAUGAGUUCGAAAUGCUGUGAAUCAUUUUUAUGCUAAUCUAUUUUAUCUGUCUCUAUUUACAUAGCUUUAGAUAUUUUAGAUGAUAUUUGUUUACUCACUAGGAUUAUAUAAUCUCAUCACCCUCAUUUCUACCCAUUUCAGGCUCAAGAUAGUCGGUAGAUAGCUCAUUUCAUUAAGGGUUACAGUUAGACUUGCAUCCUCAAAAACUGUAGGUUCACAGCCUUUAUUACUUUUAGUCAUUCGGGGGCUCACAUGUCAUUGUUAAAUGUUUUGAAUACCUGGCUGCGCGUGCUACUGUAUGUAGGAAAUUAUUUUACUUUUACGCUGUAAAAAAUUAUUUAUGUAGCGUUCGAUAAAAAUGGUUUUAUGAAAAAUUAGAAUAUUUUAUUC
Molecule: long non-coding RNA, 1979 nt
Filed under: Theobroma cacao (cacao)
Lineage: Eukaryota; Viridiplantae; Streptophyta; Magnoliopsida; Malvales; Malvaceae
Description: long non-coding RNA (TCAC_LNC004841)
Source: RNAcentral